GACGAACGCUGGCGGCGUGCUUAACACAUGCAAGUCGAACGGAAAGGCCCUGCUUUUGUGGGGUGCUCGAGUGGCGAACGGGUGAGUAACAUGUGAGUAACCUGCCCUUGACUUUGGGAUAACUUCAGGAAACUGGGGCUAAUACCGGAUAGGAGCUCCUGCUGCAGGGUGGGGGUCGGAACGUUUCGGCGGUUGGGGAUGGACUCGCGGCUUAUCAGCUGGUUGGUGGGGUAGUGGCUUACCAAGGCUUUGACGGGUAGCCGGCCUGAGAGGGUGACCGCCCACCUUGGGACUGAGAUACGGCGCAGACUCCUACAGGAGGCAGCAGGGGGGAAUAUUGCACAAUGGGCGGAAGCGUGAUGCGGCAGCGCCGCGUGCGGGAUGACGGCCUUCGUGUUGUAAACCGCAUUCGCCUGUGACGAAGCGUGAGUGACGGUAAUGAGUAAAGAAGCACCGGCUAACUACGUG
Molecule: ribosomal RNA, 468 nt
Filed under: uncultured bacterium
Lineage: Bacteria
Description: partial 16S ribosomal RNA
Rfam family: Bacterial small subunit ribosomal RNA
Source: RNAcentral